CCAAAAACGUUAACCUGAAAUUUGCACUAUCAUUUUCUAUGUUCAGUGAACCGUAAAAUUGGGGUCAAAACUCUAAUUUGGCAUUAAAAUUAGAAAGAUCAUAUCAUAGGGCACAUGUAUACUAAGUUUCAAGUUGAUUGGACUUCAACUUCAUCAAAAACUACCUUGACCAAAAACUUUAACCUGAAGCGGGACAGACGGACGAACGAACGGACGGACGAACGGACGCACAGACCAGAAAACAUAAUGCCCCUCUACUAUUGUAGGUGGGGUAUAAAAA
This 280-nucleotide long non-coding RNA is filed under the name Mytilus galloprovincialis (Mediterranean mussel). Lineage: Eukaryota; Metazoa; Mollusca; Bivalvia; Mytilida; Mytilidae. The record is from RNAcentral.